GAAACCGAGUCUUAAUUGGGCGUUAAGUUGCAGGGUAUAGACCCGAAACCCGGUGAUCUAGCCAUGGGCAGGUUGAAGGUUGGGUAACACUAACUGGAGGACCGAACCGACUAAUGUUGAAAAAUUAGCGGAUGACCUGUGGCUGGGGGUGAAAGGCCAAUCAAACCGGGAGAUAGCUGGUUCUCCCCGAAAGCUAUUUAGGUAGCGCCUCGUGAAUUCAUCUCCGGGGGUAGAGCACUGUUUCGGCUAGGGGGCCAUCCCGGCUUACCAACCCGAUGCAAACUGCGAAUACCGGAGAAUGUUAUCACGGGAGACACACGGCGGGUGCUAACGUCCGUCGUGAAGAGGGAAACAACCCAGACCGCCAGCUAAGGUCCCAAAGUCAUGGUUAAGUGGGAAACGAUGUGGGAAGGCCCAGACAGCCAGGAUGUUGGCUUAGAAGCAGCCAUCAUUUAAAGAAAGCGUAAUAGCUCACUGGUCGAGUCGGCCUGCGCGGAAGAUGUAACGGGGCUAAACCAUGCACCGAAGCUGCGGCAGCGACACUGUGUGUUGUUGGGUAGGGGAGCGUUCUGUAAGCCUGCGAAGGUGGCCUGUGAGGGUUGCUGGAGGUAUCAGAAGUGCGAAUGCUGACAUAAGUAACGAUAAAGCGGGUGAAAAGCCCGCUCGCCGGAAGACCAAGGGUUCCUGUCCAACGUUAAUCGGGGCAGGGUGAGUCGACCCCUAAGGCGAGGCCGAAAGGCGUAGUCGAUGGGAAACGGGUUAAUAUUCCCGUACUUGGUGUUACUGCGAAGGGGGGACGGAGAAGGCUAUGUUGGCCGGGCGACGGUUGUCCCGGUUUAAGCGUGUAGGUGUGUGUUCCAGGUAAAUCCGGUUCACUUUAACACUGAGGCGUGACGACGAGGCACUACGGUGCUGAAGCAACAAAUGCCCUGCUUCCAGGAAAAGCCUCUAAGCAUCAGGUAACAUCAAAUCGUACCCCAAACCGACACAGGUGGUCAGGUAGAGAAUACCAAGGCGCUUGAGAGAACUCGGGUGAAGGAACUAGGCAAAAUGGUGCCGUAACUUCGGGAGAAGGCACGCUGACACGUAGGUGAAGUGAUUUACUCAUGGAGCUGAAGUCAGUCGAAGAUACCAGCUGGCUGCAACUGUUUAUUAAAAACACAGCACUGUGCAAACACGAAAGUGGACGUAUACGGUGUGACGCCUGCCCGGUGCCGGAAGGUUAAUUGAUGGGGUCAGCGCAAGCGAAGCUCCUGAUCGAAGCCCCGGUAAACGGCGGCCGUAACUAUAACGGUCCUAAGGUAGCGAAAUUCCUUGUCGGGUAAGUUCCGACCUGCACGAAUGGCGUAAUGAUGGCCAGGCUGUCUCCACCCGAGACUCAGUGAAAUUGAACUCGCUGUGAAGAUGCAGUGUACCCGCGGCAAGACGGAAAGACCCCGUGAACCUUUACUAUAGCUUGACACUGAACAUUGAGCCUUGAUGUGUAGGAUAGGUGGGAGGCUUUGAAGUGUGGACGCCAGUCUGCAUGGAGCCGACCUUGAAAUACCACCCUUUAAUGUUUGAUGUUCUAACGUGGACCCGUUACCCGGGUUGCGGACAGUGUCUGGUGGGUAGUUUGACUGGGGCGGUCUCCUCCUAAAGAGUAACGGAGGAGCACGAAGGUUGGCUAAUCCUGGUCGGACAUCAGGAGGUUAGUGCAAUGGCAUAAGCCAGCUUGACUGCGAGCGUGACGGCGCGAGCAGGUGCGAAAGCAGGUCAUAGUGAUCCGGUGGUUCUGAAUGGAAGGGCCAUCGCUCAACGGAUAAAAGGUACUCCGGGGAUAACAGGCUGAUACCGCCCAAGAGUUCAUAUCGACGGCGGUGUUUGGCACCUCGAUGUCGGCUCAUCACAUCCUGGGGCUGAAGUAGGUCCCAAGGGUAUGGCUGUUCGCCAUUUAAAGUGGUACGCGAGCUGGGUUUAGAACGUCGUGAGACAGUUCGGUCCCUAUCUGCCGUGGGCGCUGGAGAACUGAGGGGGGCUGCUCCUAGUACGAGAGGACCGGAGUGGACGCAUCACUGGUGUUCGGGUUGUCAUGCCAAUGGCACUGCCCGGUAGCUAAAUGCGGAAGAGAUAAGUGCUGAAAGCAUCUAAGCACGAAACUUGCCCCGAGAUGAGUUCUCCCUGAGACUUAAAGUCUCCUGAAGGAACGUUGAAGACGACGACGUUGAUAGGCCGGGUGUGUAAGCGCAGCGAUGCGUUGAGCUAACCGGUACUAAUGAACCGUGAGGCUUAACCUUACAACGCCGAAG
RNAcentral lists this ribosomal RNA (2288 nucleotides) under Salmonella enterica subsp. enterica serovar Enteritidis. RNAcentral describes it as "partial 23S ribosomal RNA". It matches the Rfam family "Bacterial large subunit ribosomal RNA", at positions 673 to 2925 of the family's 2925-position model. Lineage: Bacteria; Pseudomonadati; Pseudomonadota; Gammaproteobacteria; Enterobacterales; Enterobacteriaceae. The record is from RNAcentral.